AGAGAUGUGUGAUGACGCAUAUCAAUAAGCGGAGGAAAAGAAACUAACAAGGAUUCCCUUAGUAACGGCGAGUGAAGCGGGAAGGGCUCAAAUUUGAAAUCUUCAAGGUUCUACCUUGACGAAUUGUAGUUUAUAGAAGUGUUUUCUGUUAGUAGAGUGGCAAAAGUUCUUUGGAAUAGGACAUCAUAGAGGGUGAGAAUCCCGUAUUUGGUCAUUCUUUCUAGCUUUGUGAUACACUUUCAACGAGUCGGAUUGUUUGGGAAUGCAGUCCAAAAUGGGUGGUAAAUUUCAUCUAAAGCUAAAUAUUGGCGAGAGACCGAUAGCGAACAAGUACCGUGAGGGAAAGAUGAAAAGAACUUUGAAAAGAGAGUUAAACAGUACGUGAAAUUGUCAAAAGGGAAGCGUUUGACACCAGUGUUGUUUUUCCGAAAAUCAAUUACGAAUGUUUUAUUUUUGAGAAGUUAUGACUUCAUCGGCUUGCUUCUCUCUUUAUGAAACUUUCUUAAUGCACUUUUCGGUUAACAAGUCAACAUCAAUUUCUUUUGUUGUAAAAGGGUAUGAGGAAGGUGGCUUUCUUUUCGGAGAAAGUGUUUAUAGCCUUGUACCUCUGCAAUCGGAGAGAUUGAGGUCUGCAGCGUAGAUCCUUCGGGGUUAGAUACGUUUGUGCUAAGUUAUAGCUUUUCAUAGACAACUUGUUGACUAUGUUAAGUCUUGUAGCUUACUCGCUUAUGCUAUUUUACCUACGCUUAGGAUGUUGACGCAUGAGAUAUACGC
Molecule: ribosomal RNA, 774 nt
Filed under: uncultured Neocallimastigales
Lineage: Eukaryota; Fungi; Neocallimastigomycota; Neocallimastigomycetes; Neocallimastigales
Description: partial large subunit ribosomal RNA
Rfam family: Eukaryotic large subunit ribosomal RNA
Source: RNAcentral